GGCGGCGUGCUUCACACAUGCAAGUCGAACGGAAAGGCCCGCUUGCGGGUACUCGAGUGGCGAACGGGUGAGUAACACGUGGGUAACCUGCCCCCAUCUCUGGGAUAACCGUUGGAAACGGCGGCUAAUACCGGAUACGACCAUUGCCUGCAUGGGUGAUGGUGGAAAGUUUUUGCGGUUGGGGAGGGGCCCGCGGCCUAUCAGCUGGUUGGUGGGGUGAUGGCCUACCAAGGCGUUGACGGGUAGCCGGCCUGAGAGGGCGGUCGGUCACAUUGGGACUGAGAUACGGCCCAGACUCCUACGGGAGGCAGCAGUGGGGAAUUUUGCACAAUGGGCGCAAGCCUGAUGCAGCGACGCCGCGUGAGGGAUGACGGCUUUCGGGUUGUAAACCUCUUUUAUCCACCACGAAGGCCAGGUAUUCGCCUGGUUGACGGUAGUGGUUGAAUAAGCGCCGGCUAACUACGUGCCAGCAGCCGCGGUAAGACGUAGGGCGCGAGCGUUGUCCGGAUUUAUUGGGCGUAAAGGGCUCGUAGGCGGUUGAUUGCGUCCGCCGUGAAAGGCCUCGGCUUAACCGGGGUUUUGCGGUGGAUACGGGUCGACUUGAGGCAAUUAGGGGAGAUCGGAAUUCUACGUGUAGCGGUGAAAUGCGCAGAUAUGUGGAGGAACACCGGUGGCGAAGGCGGAUCUCUGGGAUUGUUCUGACGCUGAGGAGCGAAAGCAUGGGGAGCGAACAGGAUUAGAUACCCUGGUAGUCCAUGCUGUAAACGGUGGGCGCUAGGUGUGGGGUCACGUUGGUUGAUUCUGUGCCGUAGCUAACGCAUUAAGCGCCCCGCCUGGGGAGUACGGCCGC
Molecule: ribosomal RNA, 850 nt
Filed under: Glycomyces sp. IM-0594
Lineage: Bacteria; Bacillati; Actinomycetota; Actinomycetes; Glycomycetales; Glycomycetaceae
Description: bacterial SSU rRNA
Rfam family: Bacterial small subunit ribosomal RNA
Source: RNAcentral